AUGACCCCAAGCCCCACAGAGAGUCCUACUUGUGCGGCGAGGCAGAAUGAUGCUUCUGAUAAUGGUGCAAUUGCAGCAAUCGACUCAGAUGAUGCUCAUGACCUGGCUGAUGUUAGCAUAGCUGAGAACAGCAAAGCAAGCCAUGUGCCAUCCUGUAUCUUCGACUUUGGUGAUAAUAUUUGGUGCCCACCACCGCCUGAAGAUGAGAUUGAUGAUGCUGAAUCGAGGUUAUUUGGAUUCGAUGACGACGAUGAUGAAAUUGGGGAUUCCAACAACACUUUUGCCCCAAGUUGUUUCAGUGCUAAAACUAAUAGAGCAACUGGUGUCAGCAAUAUCAAUUGUGGGUCCCACCAAGAGAGUGUUCAGAAGGAUCUAUUUAGGCAUUUUCAAGCUCUAGUUGCACAGUUACUGAAGGCGGAAGGUGUUGGGUUGGCCAGUGAGAAGGAUUCCAAAAUCUGGCUCGAUAUUGUGUCCUCGUUAGCAUGGCAAGCCGCUUACUUUGUGAAACCUGACACCAAGAAAGGCGGCAGCAUGGAUCCUAGUGAUUAUGUGAAGAUCAAGUGCAUAGCAUCUGGGAACCCAACUGAUAGCAAUUUUAUAAGAGGAAUUGUUUGCUCCAAGAAUGUAAAACACAAACGCAUGGUCUCAGAGUACAGUAAUGCCAAAUUGCUCAUUUUAGGAGGUGCACUUGAGUACCAGAAAGCUUCUAAUAAGUUAGCAUCAAUUGGAACUAUACUCGAACAGGAAAAGGAAUAUCUACGAACUGUUGUUGGAAAGAUUGAGUCUAGGAAACCUAAUGUGCUGAUAGUUGAGAAGAGCGUCUCAUCUUAUGCCCAGGAGCUCUUAGCGAAAGAUAUCUCAUUAGUUCUGAAUGUAAAGAGGACACUUUUGGAGAGAAUAUCAAAAUGCACGGGCGGUCAGAUUGCCUCGUCAAUUGAUAACAUUGCUUCAGCAAGGCUAGGGCAAUGUGACAUGUUCAAGGUGGAAAAGGUUCUGGAAUCAUUUGCAUCAGGACAUGCAGAGAAGAGACCAACACCGAAAACGCUGAUGUUUUUUGAAGGCUGUCUGAAGCGCCUGGGUUGCACGGUUCUACUAAGAGGAGAUUGUCGAGAAGAAUUGAAGAAGAUUAAGCAUGCAAUGCAACUGGCAGUGUUUGCUGCUUAUCAUCUGUCCCUCGAGACAUCAUUCCUUGCUGAUGAGGGCGCAACAAUUCCACAAGUUCUUUCAGUAACUGCAAUGGGUGCACAACAAGCAUGGACCAAUACAGAUCACAUUUCUGCUAAGUCUGCUGAUCGUGAUACUACUGAUAGUCUCAGAGCUGCGGAAGAGAAAUGCCCACAGACUGCUGCCAUCACGCAAAUGUUUGAUGGUAUUUCUGCAUCACCGCCUUCAUUACGAUUGGAUGGGCAAAGCCUUGGAAGUGCACUUGAGUGUACCGAAUCUGAAUCUCCUGUUAAUCAUGCCAAUUCUCUGAAUGCCGUUAAUGCCUGCCAAAAGGCUGUCUUGGCAAAGAUACCCGUGGAUUUAUGUCAUUUGGAAAACAGUGGGAGUGGCCUACCACCAGAUGACUUCCAGGCAGGAGGCCUAGAUAACCAGAACAGGCUUUCAUGUAGCUACUUACCUGGUACUGAUAAUCAUCAGAGCAUCUUAGUUUCCCUCUCAAGCACCUGUAUCCCCAAAAACUUAGCAUGUGAGCGUUCCCACCUCUUCCGCAUCAAGUUUUAUGGUAGCUUUGAUAAGCCACUUGGGAGAUACCUUCGCGAAAACUUAUUUGACCAGGCAUAUUGCUGUCCGUCAUGCAAGGAGCCUUCAGAAUCACAUGCCAGAUGCUACAUGCACCAGAAUGGCAGCCUAACAAUAAGUGUUAGGCGUCUCUUAUCCCAAAAGUUGCCAGGUGAACACGAUGGAAGGAUAUGGAUGUGGCACAGAUGUAUGAAGUGCAAAUUUGAAGAUGGAAUGCCGCCUGCUACACAUAGAGUGGUCAUGUCUGAUUCUGCUUGGGGUCUAUCCUUUGGGAAGUUUCUAGAGCUCAGCUUUUCUAAUCAUGCAACUGCCAACCGAAUUGCGAGCUGUGGGCACUCUCUACAACGGGACUGCCUUCGUUUUUAUGGGUAUGGAAAUAUGGUAGCAGCCUUCCAUUAUAGUCCCAUGCUUACUCGAUCAGUUAACCUCCCACCCUCGGUGCUGAAUUUCAAUUGCCACAGCAUGCAAGACUGGGUGAAAGGAGAAACAGUCAUGGUAUUUGAUGAAAUGGAAUCCUUACAUUUGGAGGUAUAUGGUUUCCUUAAUAGUAUUGAGAGGAGUAUCAUUACCAUGGAUGAGCCAGUAAAAACAGGUAUACGGAGGCAGAUUAUAGAGAUGAAGGAUUUGCUUAACAGGGAAAGAAAUGAAUACGAGGGUUUGCUUCUACCAGUUAUAAAGGGGAGUGUUCAUUCCAUGAAAUCAACUAUUGAUACUUUGGAACUCAACCGUGUGAGACGUGGUCUCCUCCUAGAUGCAUACGUUUGGGACUGCAGGUUGUGUAACAUUGAUUCGCUUAAAGCAAAUGGCCAUAUUGCCAGAACUGAUUCUUCCAAUCCAGAAAAUCUCCAAGCCACCAGCAUAAAGGAAGAUAAAUCUGAGCUACUGACGACUGUUACACAGCAUGGAGAAACACAUGAAGGACCUGCUACAUACAGAAGGUGCUCCUCUGGAAGUCCAAGGAGAUCUCUACUAUCCAGAGAGGCCUCAAUAGAUAACGGGAAUAUCUUGGUUGAAACAAGUUUGCCGAUUGGGCAGGUGGAUGGUGUGAGUGGUGCAGGGGAUCUUGACGUGGUCUUUAGCAAAUUCAGUGUGUCUGAAAAUGGACAGCGCCUUUCCAUGAAUUCCGUCGAGACGGUACCAGUCGAGAGGUUACCCUCUCUUGCAUCUAUUUUAUCUGAUAAAAUAGAUAUGUUAUGGAGUGGAUCUACUGAAGCACACUGCAGUCUUCCACAAGAUUUGAUCAAAGCUGAUGGGAAGGGGUCUUUUAAUUUGUUGGGCAAUCCAAGCUACAAGAAGGCAAUCUCCCCAGUUCGAGUCCAUUCAUUUGAUUCUAUAUUCAGAUUGCAUGAACGGGAACAAACUGGAUUGUUGCCUGCUUCAUUACAUUUGUCCUUGAAAAUGAGAUCAGUUGAUUCCUUUAGAGAUUUGACAAGCCUUGUGAAGGAUCCGAUGACAAACAUGCGCAGGGCUUUUUCUCAAAUAUCUCCUAGAUCAAGGGGAAACUUAAAUGUUAUUCUUACUCGUGCACCUACAUAUCUCAAAUCUGCUUCUCAUAUGGUGAGUGAUGGGGCACGGCUGCUGCUGCCUCAUAUUGGUUCUGAAGGUGCCCUUGUUGUUGCUGUCUAUGAUGAUGAGCCAACCAGUAUCGUAUCAUAUGCCAUGACGUCACAAGAAUAUGUUGAGCAUGUUACGCAUAAACUGGAUUCAAAAUCCAGCUUUCAACAUAUGUCAAAUUGCUCCGCGGUCAGCAGUAACGGACUUGAGAAAGCUUUGCCUUCACAAGAAGGAGCCCACUUUAAGUAUUCGUUUGACGAUGAAGCAUUUUGUGCAGAUAAUACAAAGUUUUCAGUGACUUGUUAUUUUGCAAGGCAGUUUGCUUCACUUAGAAAGAAGUGCUGUCCAAGUGAUGUUGAUUACAUACGUUCACUCAGUCGCUGUAAAAGAUGGAGUGCUGAUGGUGGAAAAAGUAAUGUUUACUUUGCAAAGACAAUGGAUGAGAGAUUCAUAAUUAAACAAGUCACCAAGACGGAGCUAGACUCUUUUGUUGGGUUUGCUCCUCACUACUUCAGGCACUUGACUCAAUCAUUGACUUCUGGAAGCCCAACUUGUCUGGCCAAAAUAUUAGGAAUUUAUCAGGUUAAUAUCAAGGGCUUGAAAGGAGGGCGUGAGGUUAAGAUGGAUCUUAUGGUUAUGGAGAACAUUUUCUUCCAGAAAACAAUAUCGAGGGUGUAUGAUCUAAAGGGUUCCGUGCGUUCACGCUAUAAUUCAGAUACAUCUAGCAACAAUAAAGUACUUUUGGAUUCUAAUCUCAUUGAGGAACUACAUACAAAGCCUAUAUUUUUGGGCCGUAAGGCGAAGCGAACAUUGGAAAGAGCUGUCUGGAAUGAUACAUCAAUUCUUGCGUCGUUGGAUGUCAUGGACUACUCGCUUCUGGUCGGCAUUGACGAGGAGAAGAAUGAACUUGUGAUCGGCAUCAUCGACUUCCUACGACAGUACACCUGGGACAAGCAGUUGGAGACGUGGGUGAAGGCCUCAGGCAUCCUAGGCGGCCCCAAGAAUGAGACCCCAACUGUCAUUUCGCCGGUCCAGUAUAAGAAGAGGUUCAGAAAGGCCAUGUUGAGGUACUUCAUUGCCAUCCCCGACCAAUGGUCCUCUUGA
This 4401-nucleotide ribosomal RNA is filed under the name Triticum aestivum (bread wheat). RNAcentral describes it as "partial small subunit ribosomal RNA". Lineage: Eukaryota; Viridiplantae; Streptophyta; Magnoliopsida; Poales; Poaceae. The record is from RNAcentral.